Molecule: non-coding RNA, 45 nt
Filed under: Schistosoma mattheei
Lineage: Eukaryota; Metazoa; Platyhelminthes; Trematoda; Strigeidida; Schistosomatidae
Source: RNAcentral
AUCCAGCCGACGAGUCCCAAAUAGAACUAAACGCGCGUUCUGGAU